GAUGAACGCUGGCGGCGUGCCUAAUACAUGCAAGUCGAGCGAACAGACGAGAAGCUUGCUUCUCUGAUGUUAGCGGCGGACGGGUGAGUAACACGUGGAUAACCUACCUAUAAGACCGGGAUAACUUCGGGAAACCGUAGCUAAUACCGGAUAAUAUUUUGAACCGCAUGGUUCAAAAGUGAAAGACGGUCUUGCUGUCACUUAUAGAUGGAUCCGCGCUGCAUUAGCUAGUUGGUAAGGUAACGGCUUACCAAGGCAACGAUGCAUAGCCGACCUGAGAGGGUGAUCGGCCACACUGGAACUGAGACACGGUCCAGACUCCUACGGGAGGCAGCAGUAGGGAAUCUUCCGCAAUGGGCGAAAGCCUGACGGAGCAACGCCGCGUGAGUGAUGAAGGUCUUCGGAUCGUAAAACUCUGUUAUUAGGGAAGAACAUAUGUGUAAGUAACUGUGCACAUCUUGACGGUACCUAAUCAGAAAGCCACGGCUAACUACGUG
Molecule: ribosomal RNA, 497 nt
Filed under: uncultured bacterium
Lineage: Bacteria
Description: partial 16S ribosomal RNA
Rfam family: Bacterial small subunit ribosomal RNA
Source: RNAcentral